UUCCAUGUUCCAUUAAACUUGAUCCAGUCUUUGUCCCAUGAUCUGACACCUAUAACUUCGCAUACAUUGGCAUCAUUUCACCUCCUCCUUUAUCGAAGUACACCUACGCAGCGGACAUAAGCUGUCAUAAGAGUUACCUGCAAUCAACACAAAUAACGUCAUAUAUUUCUUAACUAAGUCAAGUUCGUUCCGGAGAUAAUAUAAUAGACGGAAGUCUUAUUUUAUCACGGUUAUAAUCGUGCUGAAAAAAUAUUUUUGCAUUCUACAUAACGGCCUCUUAUGCUUUAGACCUACGCGAAAUAAACUGUUCUGCCAUCUUACAGCGCUCGAUCGCUAGCACGAAUUUGGAGUGGGAAGAACGGCACCGUGCUUUGCUAUUACAUAUCAUUUCUCGAUCGAAACGUCUGUUAACGACCUCAGAAGUUGUGUGUUUACAUAUGGCAUACACAUUUAUUGUAAUAUCGCCAAGUGUUAUUAGUCUUUGGAAGUUUCUCGAAAUAAUAAGAAAUCACAAGUGCGCAUGUAUAUCUUUCAUGUUACAAUGAUAGUGGAUAAAACAUUAAUUUAUUGCAGCUAAUUAUUGUAACGAAACAUACACUUGCUUAGAAUUUGUAGUAUAUCUCAUUAUACAGAAUAUCUAAGAUAAAAGUAGUAUCAUGUUUCUUAAACUAUUGUUAAGCAGCAGUUUAACUAUCAUCGUCGCUGCGGCUUUUUUAACCGACGAGAUAAUUAAAAUAUCUCAGGAAGAGUUAAACAGGCAUUCAAAUUAUAUAUUACCGCAUAUUUAUGAUAUCAUCGUUACACAUAUCGAAGAAAAUAUUCUUGUCUGUAACUGCAUUAUACGUAUAGAGAUUAAACAUCCAACAUCAAGCAUAUUAUUGUAUU
Molecule: long non-coding RNA, 885 nt
Organism: Camponotus floridanus (Florida carpenter ant)
Lineage: Eukaryota; Metazoa; Arthropoda; Insecta; Hymenoptera; Formicidae
Exons: 3
Source: RefSeq, a predicted model, not a curated record